UGUGAGUAAUGCAUCGGGACGUGCCCAAUCGUGGGGGAUAACGCAGCGAAAGCUGUGCUAAUACCGCAUACGAUCUAUGGAUGAAAGCGGGGGACCUUCGGGCCUCGCGCGAUUGGAGCGGCCGAUGUUAGAUUAGGUAGUUGGUGGGGUAAAGGCUCACCAAGCCGACGAUCUAUAGCUGGUCUGAGAGGACGACCAGCCACACUGGAACUGAGACACGGUCAGACUCCUACGGGAGGCAGCAGUGGGGAAUUUUGGACAAUGGGCGCAAGCCUGAUCCAGCAAUACCGCGUGCAGGAAGAAGGCCUUCGGGUUGUAAACUGCUUUUGUACGGAACGAAAAGGCUCUUUCUAAUAAAGAGGGCUCAUGACGGUACCGUAAGAAUAAGCACCGGCUAACUACGUGCCAGCAGCCGCGGUAAUACGUAGGGUGCGAGCGUUAAUCGGAAUUACUGGGCGUAAAGCGUGCGCAGGCGGUUUUGUAAGACAGACGUGAAAUCCCCGGGCUCAACCUGGGAAUUGCGUUUGUGACUGCAAGGCUAGAGUACGGUAGAGGGGGGCAGAAUUCCGCGUGUAGCAGUGAAAUGCGUAGAUAUGCGGAGGAACACCGAUGGCGAAGGCAGCCACCUGGGUCAACACUGACGCUCAUGUACGAAAGCGUGGGGAGCAAACAGGAUUAGAUACCCUGGUAG
RNAcentral lists this ribosomal RNA (691 nucleotides) under uncultured Comamonadaceae bacterium. Its description in RNAcentral is "bacterial SSU rRNA". It matches the Rfam family "Bacterial small subunit ribosomal RNA", at positions 105 to 793 of the family's 1533-position model. The record is from RNAcentral. Lineage: Bacteria; Pseudomonadati; Pseudomonadota; Betaproteobacteria; Burkholderiales; Comamonadaceae.